RNAcentral lists this ribosomal RNA (500 nucleotides) under uncultured Glomeromycotina. RNAcentral's name for it is "partial small subunit ribosomal RNA". It matches the Rfam family "Eukaryotic small subunit ribosomal RNA", at positions 591 to 1092 of the family's 1831-position model. Lineage: Eukaryota; Fungi; Glomeromycota. The record is from RNAcentral.
CCAAUAGCGUAUAUUAAAGUUGUUGCAGUUAAAAAGCUCGUAGUUGAAUUUCGGAAUCAAUACGUCGGUCGUGCCUCUGGUAUGUACUGGUGUUGUUGGUUUCUCCUUUCUGAGGAGCCAUGAUGCCAUUAAUUUGGUGUCGUGGGGAAUCAGGACUGUUACUUUGAAAAAAUUAGAGUGUUUAAAGCAGGCACACGCUUGAAUACAUUAGCAUGGAAUAAUGAAAUAGGACGUUCGAUUCUAUUUUGUUGGUUUCUAGGAGCAACGUAAUGAUUAAUAGGGAUAGUUGGGGGCAUUAGUAUUCAAUUGUCAGAGGUGAAAUUCUUGGAUUUAUUGAAGACUAACUACUGCGAAAGCAUUUGCCAAGGAUGUUUUCAUUAAUCAAGAACGAAAGUUAGGGGAUCGAAGACGAUCAGAUACCGUCGUAGUCUUAACCAUAAACUAUGCCGACUAGGGAUCGGAUGAUGUUAAUUUUUUAAUGACUCAUUCGGCGCCUUACG